UGGUGGGUAGUUUGACUGGGGCGGUCUCCUCCUAAAGAGUAACGGAGGAGCACGAAGGUUGGCUAAUCCUGGUCGGACAUCAGGAGGUUAGUGCAAUGGCAUAAGCCAGCUUGACUGCGAGCGUGACGGCGCGAGCAGGUGCGAAAGCAGGUCAUAGUGAUCCGGUGGUUCUGAAUGGAAGGGCCAUCGCUCAACGGAUAAAAGGUACUCCGGGGAUAACAGGCUGAUACCGCCCAAGAGUUCAUAUCGACGGCGGUGUUUGGCACCUCGAUGUCGGCUCAUCACAUCCUGGGGCUGAAGUAGGUCCCAAGGGUAUGGCUGUUCGCCAUUUAAAGUGGUACGCGAGCUGGGUUUAGAACGUCGUGAGACAGUUCGGUCCCUAUCUGCCGUGGGCGCUGGAGAACUGAGGGGGGCUGCUCCUAGUACGAGAGGACCGGAGUGGACGCAUCACUGGUGUUCGGGUUGUCAUGCCAAUGGCACUGCC
Molecule: ribosomal RNA, 484 nt
Filed under: Escherichia coli
Lineage: Bacteria; Pseudomonadati; Pseudomonadota; Gammaproteobacteria; Enterobacterales; Enterobacteriaceae
Also listed under: 3 other names
Description: partial 23S ribosomal RNA
Rfam family: Bacterial large subunit ribosomal RNA
Source: RNAcentral